RNAcentral lists this ribosomal RNA (444 nucleotides) under uncultured bacterium. Its description in RNAcentral is "SSU rRNA". It matches the Rfam family "Bacterial small subunit ribosomal RNA", at positions 26 to 518 of the family's 1533-position model. The record is from RNAcentral.
AGAACGAACGCUGGCGGCAGGCUUAACACAUGCAAGUCGAGCGCCUCGCAAGAGGAGCGGCAGACGGGUGAGUAACGCGUGGGAAUCUACCCAUCCUUACGGAACAACUCCGGGAAACUGGAGCUAAUACCGUAUACGCCCUUCGGGGGAAAGAUUUAUCGAGGAUGGAUGAGCCCGCGUUGGAUUAGCUAGUUGGUGGGGUAAAGGCCUACCAAGGCGACGAUCUAUAGCUGGUCUGAGAGGAUGAUCAGCCACAUUGGGACUGAGACACGGCCCAAACUCCUACGGGAGGCAGCAGUGGGGAAUAUUGGACAAUGGGCGAAAGCCUGAUCCAGCAAUGCCGCGUGUGUGAAGAAGGUCUUCGGAUUGUAAAGCACUUUUGGCAGGGACGAUGAUGACGGUACCUGCAGAAUAACGCCCGGCUAACUUCGUGCCAGCAGCCGC